UACGUAGGGUGCAAGCGUUGUCCGGAAUUAUUGGGCGUAAAGAGCUCGUAGGCGGUCUGUCGCGUCGGCUGUGAAAACCCGGAGCUCAACUCCGGGCCUGCAGUCGAUACGGGCAGACUGGAGUUCGGCAGGGGAGACUGGAAUUCCUGGUGUAGCGGUGAAAUGCGUAGAUAUCAGGAGGAAUACCGAUGGCGAAGGCAGGGUCUCUGGGCUGACACUGACGCUCAUGCACGAAAGCGUGGGGAGCAAACAGG
This 254-nucleotide ribosomal RNA is filed under the name uncultured bacterium. Its description in RNAcentral is "partial 16S ribosomal RNA". It matches the Rfam family "Bacterial small subunit ribosomal RNA", at positions 524 to 776 of the family's 1533-position model. The record is from RNAcentral.